Molecule: ribosomal RNA, 549 nt
Filed under: uncultured beta proteobacterium
Lineage: Bacteria; Pseudomonadati; Pseudomonadota; Betaproteobacteria
Description: bacterial SSU rRNA
Rfam family: Bacterial small subunit ribosomal RNA
Source: RNAcentral
UGGGGAAUUUUGGACAAUGGGGGCAACCCUGAUCCAGCCAUGCCGCGUGCGGGAAGAAGGCCUUCGGGUUGUAAACCGCUUUUAGCUGGGAAGAAAAGGCCGAGGUUAAUACCUUCGGUUUUUGACGGUACCGGCGGAACAAGCACCGGCUAACUACGUGCCAGCAGCCGCGGUAAUACGUAGGGUGCGAGCGUUAAUCGGAAUUACUGGGCGUAAAGCGUGCGCAGGCGGUUCGUUGUGUCGGUGGUGAAAGCCCCGGGCUUAACCUGGGGAUGGCCAUGGAAACUGGCGAACUGGAGUGUGGCAGAGGGGGGUGGAAUUCCGCGCGUAGCAGUGAAAUGCGUAGAGAUGCGGAGGAACACCGAUGGCGAAGGCAGCCCCCUGGGCUAGCACUGACGCUCAGGCACGAAAGCGUGGGGAGCAAACAGGAUUAGAUACCCUGGUAGUCCACGCCCUAAACCAUGUCAACUGGGUGUUCGGGAAGCGAUUUCUGAGUACCGUAGCUAACGCGUGAAGUUGACCGCCUGGGGAGUACGGCCGCAAGGUUAA